RNAcentral lists this ribosomal RNA (623 nucleotides) under uncultured fungus. Its description in RNAcentral is "SSU rRNA". It matches the Rfam family "Eukaryotic small subunit ribosomal RNA", at positions 943 to 1589 of the family's 1831-position model. The record is from RNAcentral. Lineage: Eukaryota; Fungi.
CUGCGAAAGCAUUUGCCAAGGACGUUUUCAUUAAUCAAGAACGAAAGUUAGGGGAUCGAAGACGAUCAGAUACCGUCGUAGUCUUAACCGUAAACUAUGCCGACUAGGGAUCGGAGGGCGUUAUAAUAACCUCUCCGGCACCUUACGAGAAAUCAAAGUUUUUGGGUUCUGGGGGGAGUAUGGUUGCAAGGCUGAAACUCAAAGGAAUUGACGGAAGGGCACCACCAGGAGUGGAGCCUGCGGCUUAAUUUGACUCAACACGGGGAAGCUCACCAGGUCCAGACACAAUAAGGAUUGACAGAUUGAGAGCUCUUUCAUGAUUUUGUGGGUGGUGGUGCAUGGCCGUUCUUAGUUGGUGGAGUGAUUUGUCUGCUUAAUUGCGAUAACGAACGAGACCUUAACCUGCUAAAUAGCUGUAACAAUAGAUUAUUGUUUUGACAGCUUCUUAGAGGGACUAUCGAUUUUCAAGUCGAUGGAAGUUUGAGGCAAUAACAGGUCUGUGAUGCCCUUAGACGUUCUGGGCCGCACGCGCGCUACACUGACGGAGCCAGCGAGUCUAACCUGUGCCGAGAGGUAUGGGUAAUCUUGUGAAACUCCGUCGUGCUGGGGAUAGGGCAUUGCAA